GACCUCGAAUCAGGUAGGAAUACCCGCUGAACUUAAGCAUAUCAAUAAGCGGAGGAAAAGAAACCAACAGGGAUUGCCCCAGUAACGGCGAGUGAAGCGGCAACAGCUCAAAUUUGAAAUCUGGCUCUCGGGCCCGAGUUGUAAUUUGUAGAGGAUGCUUUUGGUGAGGUGCCUUCCGAGUUCCCUGGAACGGGACGCCAUAGAGGGUGAGAGCCCCGUCUGGUUGGACACCGAUCCUCUGUAGAGCUCCUUCGACGAGUCGAGUAGUUUGGGAAUGCUGCUCUAAAUGGGAGGUAUAUGUCUUCUAAAGCUAAAUACCGGCCAGAGACCGAUAGCGCACAAGUAGAGUGAUCGAAAAGAUGAAAAGAACUUUGAAAAGAGAGUUAAAAAGUACGUGAAAAUUGUUGAA
Molecule: ribosomal RNA, 409 nt
Filed under: Fusarium falciforme
Lineage: Eukaryota; Fungi; Ascomycota; Sordariomycetes; Hypocreales; Nectriaceae
Description: partial large subunit ribosomal RNA
Rfam family: Eukaryotic large subunit ribosomal RNA
Source: RNAcentral